UUGGAUGUCCAUGGCGUCGUUUAAAAGAUAGGUUACGUGUCGUCAUGGGAACCCUGCGAAAUUUCUUUGAUUCCGAUUUGCAAAUCCGGUGAACAAAAUGAUGAAUUUAUCGUUAAUCGCAUAAUUAGGGUCAUCUUUGAUUCGAUUUCCAGGUCUUUGAGGAAACGAUAUGUGUAGCUGAAACGAUGGAGAAUGGAAGGAUAUAUCGAAUUGCAAAAGGAAGAGCGUUCAAAUGGAUGCGAUGAUGAGAACGAUUGAUUUUGAGUCGACUUAAAUUGCGUCGUUUGGAGAAUGGGUUACGUGGAGGUUUUCUUCUUCUAAACAGUACCAGAUAUAUAUAUUAGAAAAAUUUUAUGGCCCGUGCUAAGCACGGCCCGUGAAGGAUAAUAUGAGUAUUUUAUGAGGUUGCUCUAAGAACGAAUGAAAGUAUAAUGUUAUAAUUGAAUAGAAUUUUUCAAAGUACAAUACUUUAAUAGAGGAAAAUGAAAGUAAGAUGAUAUAAAUGACAGUUAAAUGGAAAUACAUUCUUAUUUUUUGUAUUUAACACUUUGAAAUUAAUACAAAACAACACCCACUUGUAGGUAGUGUAUCAGAAACACAACUCUCAAAGCAUCGCAUGCACUACAAUAAGACAAUAUGGGAAUAUACAAUGAAAAUACAUUGUUAUUUCUUGUAUUCAUUUUCAUAUACCUAUGCUCCGAUUGGUCUUCGAACAAUGCCAAAUCUGUACACAAGUGGAAAUAUCUAUUUUAGAGAAAACUGAUGAAUUCAAAUAUUCAUUCUAAUUUUCUGUACAUCAAGUUCAUAUAAACUCAACUAAUUUAAAAAGAAUUAGCUAUACAAGUAAGAACCCAAGGUAAAAAAGUGAACAUUUGAAUUGAACCCAUUAAUAUGACUUGUUCGAUCUUUAGAACUAAUAACUUAUUUUUAAUAGAUUAUAAAAAACAAGUUUCUAAAAGAAAAAAGUGCAUUACGAGUCCUAGAAUCCACAAUGUUAAACAUAAAAUUAAACACAAGAAACAUCAAAGUAUUAAUCUUUAAAUAAUGUGUAUUGUGUAUAUAAGAUAUACAUUUCAAGAAGAAACCCACUAUGAAAACAAGAGAUACAUAGUAAUCAAAUAGAAUCUUUACUUAAAGUUUUUUACUUUUAAAAAUGAUAGUUGUAGAUAGUUUCUCUAUGUACGAAGGGAUAUCCUAUUAGUCCUCUAAGUGUAGCUAAGAAUCCUCUAUCAAAAAUUAGAACUCCAUCGCCCAAGUAAAAAGUUCAUGUUACUUUAAAGACAAACACUUAUUAAAAAAGUUCAAGAACCCUUGAUCCAUAACCAUUAUGAUUCGGACCAUAGAAAAUUAACAUUUUGCAGACACGUAAGGUAGAUUUUGAAUGAUUACAAGUAUCAUUAACAUAUGAAAAUUAAAUAUGAUUUUGAACAAACUUUUGAGGUUUUAUAUAAACAAAAGUAAAUCUGUAAAGCUAAAGAUUGUAAAUUUUAAUAUAUGAUGUUAUAAUCAAGCUAAUUAAUUACUUUGAUGGCUAAAAGGAUUUUAUACCAUUGACUUAAUUCCAUAAAUCAAAAUUAAAUCAUAUAUAAAUUGAUAUAUAAAUCCUACAACUCAACUAAGCAACACAAUCGAACUAAAAUGGAUAAAGAAUCAUAUUUUUUGGAUGUAUACUCAUGAGUUAAUCCCAAGUCACCAAGGAAUUUUGACUUUGGUAUUUUAAAUUGUUUGAGGAUCGACCCCAUGAACUCGAUUCAUUUUUUUGUGUCUUCAAAAUGAGAAGACAACAAGAACAUAACAAUCCCCAUCAAUUGUAUACAACCCUUUUAUAAUUUUGGUUAUUAUGGAUUCCAUUCGAUCCCCACACAAGGUGAUAGUAGGGGGCAACUGGCUCCAAGCUUCAUGAGAGGGAAACAUAAUUAAAAACAAAGAAAACCUGAUAAGAUGGAAAAAGUUAUCCGUAACUAAAAAAACAUACAAAACAAGAAAACCUAAAAUUGUCAUACUCAAACCCACCUUCAUCUUAAUGGACGAACGUCAAUUGUUGAUGACAGAAUAGUAGGGCUCUAAAGACGGCUGGUAAUUUGACUCCAACCGAUCAACAUCAAGAUGAAGAAUUGCGGUUCCAAAUAGUGAAUUGGUAGAUUAAUGUAGAGGUUAUAUGUCUUUCUUAGCGGAUACAGGGGAGCCCAAAACGAGGCGUUGGGGAAGAACAUGGCGUCUUUAAAAAAAUGGUAGUCCCCAUGGAGAAUUUAAUCGGAGUUUUUAUUGCAUAGAAAUCCGGAAUCGACAAUUAGGGUUUUUUUUUUAUGUGGAGGAUAUGGUCGGAAUUGUUCCAGCGGUGAACGGAUAAGUCACAUGAUACACCGAGAAGAGGAAAAAGCGAUUGAUUCCAGAAUUCGGAGGUAACGGAGAUACGACACGACGGAAGGUGAAUCGUUAUUGUAAAUAUCUGUGGCGUCUCUUUGGCGGUAGAUGAUAUGGCGUCAAAUUAACCGGGUGAAAUUGAUUUAGAAGGUAGGAGAUAAAUAAGGUUUUUAU
Molecule: long non-coding RNA, 2538 nt
Filed under: Lactuca sativa (garden lettuce)
Lineage: Eukaryota; Viridiplantae; Streptophyta; Magnoliopsida; Asterales; Asteraceae
Description: long non-coding RNA (LSAT_LNC001911)
Source: RNAcentral